This 496-nucleotide ribosomal RNA is filed under the name uncultured bacterium. RNAcentral describes it as "partial 16S ribosomal RNA". It matches the Rfam family "Bacterial small subunit ribosomal RNA", at positions 38 to 507 of the family's 1533-position model. The record is from RNAcentral.
GAGGAAAGAGGGAGGGGGGAGGAAUAAAGGCAAGUCGAGCGAAAAGAUGAGGAGCUUGUUGGUCUGACGUUAGCGGCGGACGGGUGAGUAACACGUGGAUACCUACCUAUAAGACUGGGAUAACUUCGGGAAACCGGAGCUAAUACCGGAUAAUAUAUUGAACCGCAUGGUUCAAUAGUGAAAGACGGUUUUGCUGUCACUUAUAGAUGGAUCCGCGCCGCAUUAGCUAGUUGGUAAGGUAACGGCUUACCAAGGCAGCGAUGGGUAGCCGACCUGAGAGGGGGAUCGGCCACACUGGAACUGAGACACGGACAAGACUCCUACGGGAGGGAGCAGUAGGGAACCGGACGCAAUGGGCGAAAGCCUGACGGAGCAACGCCGCGUGAGUGAUGAAGGUCUUCGGAUCGUAAAACUCGGUUAUUAGGGAAGAACAAAUGUGUAAGGAAAUAUGCACGUCUUGACGGUACCGAAUAAGAAAGCCACGGCUAACUACGUA